RNAcentral lists this ribosomal RNA (496 nucleotides) under uncultured bacterium. RNAcentral describes it as "partial 16S ribosomal RNA". It matches the Rfam family "Bacterial small subunit ribosomal RNA", at positions 28 to 506 of the family's 1533-position model. The record is from RNAcentral.
GAUGAACGCUGGCGGCGUGCCUAAUACAUGCAAGUCGAGCGAACAGACGAGGAGCUUGCUCCUCUGACGUUAGCGGCGGACGGGUGAGUAACACGUGGAUAACCUACCUAUAAGACUGGGAUAACUUCGGGAAACCGGAGCUAAUACCGGAUAAUAUAUUGAACCGCAUGGUUCAAUAGUGAAAGACGGUUUUGCUGUCACUUAUAGAUGGAUCCGCGCCGCAUUAGCUAGUUGGUAAGGUCACGGCUUACCAAGGCAACGAUGCGUAGCCGACCUGGGAGGGUCAUCGGCCACACUGGAACUGAGACACGGUCCAGACUCCCACGGGAGGCAGCGGUAGGGAAUCUUCCGCAAUGGGAGAAAGCCUGACGGAGCAACGCCGCGUGAGUAAUGAAGGUCUUCGAAUCGUAAAACUCUGUUAUUAGGGAAGAACAAAUGUGUAAGUAACUAUGCACGUCUUGACGGUACCUAAUCAGAAAGCCACGGCUAACUACGG